CUUGCUUCUCUUGAGAGCGGCGGACGGGUGAGUAAUGCCUAGGAAUCUGCCUGGUAGUGGGGGAUAACGUUCGGAAACGGACGCUAAUACCGCAUACGUCCUACGGGAGAAAGCAGGGGACCUUCGGGCCUUGCGCUAUCAGAUGAGCCUAGGUCGGAUUAGCUAGUUGGUGGGGUAAUGGCUCACCAAGGCGACGAUCCGUAACUGGUCUGAGAGGAUGAUCAGUCACACUGGAACUGAGACACGGUCCAGACUCCUACGGGAGGCAGCAGUGGGGAAUAUUGGACAAUGGGCGAAAGCCUGAUCCAGCCAUGCCGCGUGUGUGAAGAAGGUCUUCGGAUUGUAAAGCACUUUAAGUUGGGAGGAAGGGUUGUAGAUUAAUACUCUGCAAUUUUGACGUUACCGACAGAAUAAGCACCGGCUAACUCUGUGCCAGCAGCCGCGGUAAUACAGAGGGUGCAAGCGUUAAUCGGAAUUACUGGGCGUAAAGCGCGCGUAGGUGGUUUGUUAAGUUGGAUGUGAAAUCCCCGGGCUCAACCUGGGAACUGCAUUCAAAACUGACUGACUAGAGUAUGGUAGAGGGUGGUGGAAUUUCCUGUGUAGCGGUGAAAUGCGUAGAUAUAGGAAGGAACACCAGUGGCGAAGCGACCACCUGGACUAAUACUGACACUGAGGUGCGAAAGCGUGGGGAGCAAACAGGAUUAGAUACCCUGGUAGUCCACGCCGUAACGAUGUCACUACCCGUUGGAGCCUUGAGCUUUUAGUGGCGCAGCUAACGCAUUAAGUUGACCGGCCUGGGGAGUACGGGCCGCAGGUUAAACUCAAUGAUUUGACGGGGCCCGCACAGCGUGGAAGCAUGU
This 860-nucleotide ribosomal RNA is filed under the name uncultured bacterium. RNAcentral describes it as "bacterial SSU rRNA". It matches the Rfam family "Bacterial small subunit ribosomal RNA", at positions 79 to 942 of the family's 1533-position model. The record is from RNAcentral.